This 225-nucleotide unclassified non-coding RNA is filed under the name uncultured Gammaproteobacteria bacterium. RNAcentral's name for it is "contains 16S-23S intergenic spacer region". Lineage: Bacteria; Pseudomonadati; Pseudomonadota; Gammaproteobacteria. The record is from RNAcentral.
UCCGAGUUGACCCCGGCAGUCUCCCAUGAGUCCCCGGCAUUACCCGCUGGCAACAUGGAACGAGGGUUGCGCUCGUUGCGGGACUUAACCCAACAUCUCACGACACGAGCUGACGACAGCCAUGCAGCACCUGUGUUCGAGUUCCCGAAGGCACCAAUCCAUCUCUGGAAAGUUCUCGACAUGUCAAGGCCAGGUAAGGUGGGGAUGACGUGAGAGAGUACGUCC